RNAcentral lists this ribosomal RNA (469 nucleotides) under uncultured bacterium. Its description in RNAcentral is "bacterial SSU rRNA". It matches the Rfam family "Bacterial small subunit ribosomal RNA", at positions 334 to 793 of the family's 1533-position model. The record is from RNAcentral.
GACUCCUACGGGGAGGCAGCAGUGGGGAAUAUUGCACAAUGGGGGAAACCCUGAUGCAGCCAUGCCGCGUGUGUGAAGAAGGCCUUCGGGUUGUAAAGCACUUUCAGUAGGGAGGAAGGUAGUGUAGUUAACACCUGCACUAUUUGACGUUACCUACAGAAGAAGCACCGGCUAACUCCGUGCCAGCAGCCGCGGUAAUACGGAGGGUGCGAGCGUUAAUCGGAAUUACUGGGCGUAAAGCGCAUGCAGGCGGCCUGUUAAGUCAGAUGUGAAAGCCCGGGGCUUAACCUCGGAAUUGCAUUUGAAACUGGCAGGCUAGAGUCUUGUAGAGGGGGGUAGGAAUUUCAGGUGUAGCGGUGAAAUGCGUAGAGAUCUGAAGGAAUACCAGUGGCGAAGGCGGCCCCCUGGACAAAGACUGACGCUCAGAUGCGAAAGCGUGGGGAGCAAACAGGAUUAGAUACCCUGGUAG